AAGGAUCAUUACGCAUAGCGGAUGUGGCGCCCCGGUGGCCUCCACCUGGGUGUCCGCUCCCCGCCCCGAUACGUCGGGAUACCCUGUUUUUCUGAGCACCAUUCGUUUCCUCGGCGGGCUCGCCCGCCAAUGAGGACCCCAUGAAACCCUUGCAAUGAGCAGUCAGUCAGUAAGAAAAUAAAUUUGUCACAACUUUCAACAAUGGAUCUCUUGGCUCUGGCAUCGAUGAAGAACGCAGCGAAAUGCGAUAAGUAGUGUGAAUUGCAGAAUUCCGUGAAUCAUCGAAUCUUUGAACGCACAUUGCGCCCCUUGGUAUUCCUUGGGGCAUGCCUGUUCGAGCGUCAUCUACACCCUCAAGCUCUGCUUGGUGUUGGGCGUCUGUCCCGCCUCCUGUGCGUGGACUCGCCUCAAAGCGAUUGGCGGCUGGUAUGAAGGCCCUGGAGUGCAGCAGGAUUGCGCCCCUUGUCCGGAGGCCGGCUCCCACAAGCUAACCCCCACUAUUUUUGACCUCGAAUCAGGUAGGGAUACCCGCUGAACUUA
RNAcentral lists this ribosomal RNA (540 nucleotides) under uncultured fungus. RNAcentral's name for it is "eukaryotic LSU rRNA". The stretch from base 191 to 344 matches the Rfam family "5.8S ribosomal RNA". The record is from RNAcentral. Lineage: Eukaryota; Fungi.